GAUCAUGGCUCAGGAUGAACGCUAGCGGCAGGCUUAACACAUGCAAGUCGAGGGGCAUCGGGAGUAGCAAUACUUGCCGGCGACCGGCGCAAGGGUGCGUAACGCGUGAGCAACAUGCCCGUAUCAGGGGGAUAAUCCAUGGAAACGUGGUCUAAUACCCCAUAGUAAUUAUGUAAGGCAUCUUAUAUAAUUUAAAGCUUUGGUGGAUACGGAUUGGCUCGCGUGACAUUAGCUGGAUGGUAAGGUAACGGCUUACCAUGGCUACGAUGUCUAGGGGUUCUGGGAGGAAGGUCCCCCACACUGGAACUGAGACACGGUCCAGACUCCUACGGGAGGCAGCAGUGAGGAAUAUUGGACAAUGGAUGGAAAUCUGAUCCAGCCAUGCCGCGUGCCAGGAAGACGGCCCUAUGGGUUGUAAACUGCUUUUGUAUGGGAGCAAUAAGGGCUACGUGUAGUCCGAUGAGAGUACCAUACGAAUAAGCACCGGCUAACUCCGUGCCAGCAGCCGC
Molecule: ribosomal RNA, 509 nt
Filed under: uncultured bacterium
Lineage: Bacteria
Description: bacterial SSU rRNA
Rfam family: Bacterial small subunit ribosomal RNA
Source: RNAcentral